AACGAACGCUGGCGGCAGGCUUAACACAUGCAAGUUGAACGCGUGUAGCAAUACACGAGUAGCGCACGGGUGCGUAACGCGUGGGAACCUUCCUCGUAGUUCGGAAUAACUCAGGGAAACUUGAGCUAAUACUGAAUGCCUCCUCCGGGAGAAAGAUUUAUCGCUACGAGAUGGGCCCGCGUCAGAUUAGGUAGUUGGUAGGGUAACGGCCUACCAAGCCGACGAUCUGUAGCUGGUCUGAGAGGAUGAUCAGCCACACUGGGACUGAGACACGGCCCAGACUCCUACGGGAGGCAGCAGUGGGGAAUAUUGGACAAUGGGGGCAACCCUGAUCCAGCCAUGCCGCGUGAGUGAAGAAGGCCUUCGGGUUGUAAAGCUCUUUCGACGGGGACGAUGAUGACGGUACCCGUAUAGGAAGCCCCGGCUAACUUCGUGCCAGCAGCCGCAGUAA
Molecule: ribosomal RNA, 451 nt
Filed under: uncultured bacterium
Lineage: Bacteria
Description: partial 16S ribosomal RNA
Rfam family: Bacterial small subunit ribosomal RNA
Source: RNAcentral